ACGGCAGCAUAGGUGCUUGCACCUGAUGGCGAGUGGCGAACGGGUGAGUAAUGCAUCGGAACGUGCCCAGUCGUGGGGGAUAACGCAGCGAAAGCUGUGCUAAUACCGCAUACGAUCUAUGGAUGAAAGCGGGGGACCUUCGGGCCUCGCGCGAUUGGAGCGGCCGAUGUUAGAUUAGGUAGUUGGUGAGGUAAAGGCUCACCAAGCCUACGAUCUAUAGCUGGUCUGAGAGGACGACCAGCCACACUGGAACUGAGACACGGUCCAGACUCCUACGGGAGGCAGCAGUGGGGAAUUUUGGACAAUGGGCGAAAGCCUGAUCCAGCAAUACCGCGUGCAGGAAGAAGGCCUUCGGGUUGUAAACUGCUUUUGUACGGAACGAAACGGUCUGGAUUAAUACUCUGGGCUAAUGACGGUACCGUAAGAAUAAGCACCGGCUAACUACGUGCCAGCAGCCGCGGUAAUACGUAGGGUGCAAGCGUUAAUCGGAAUUACUGGGCGUAAAGCGUGCGCAGGCGGUUUUGUAAGACAGGCGUGAAAUCCCCGGGCUCAACCUGGGAAUUGCGCUUGUGACUGCAAGGCUAGAGUACGGUAGAGGGGGGUAGAAUUCCGCGUGUAGCAGUGAAAUGCGUAGAUAUGCGGAGGAACACCGAUGGCGAAGGCAGCCCUCUGGACCUGUACUGACGCUCAUGCACCAAAGCGUGGGGAGCAAACAGGAUUAGAUACCCUGGUAGUCCACGCCCUAAACGAUGUCAACUGGUUGGUUGGAAUUUACUUUCUCAGUAACGAAGCUAACGCGUGAAGUUGAACGCCUGGGG
Molecule: ribosomal RNA, 818 nt
Filed under: uncultured beta proteobacterium
Lineage: Bacteria; Pseudomonadati; Pseudomonadota; Betaproteobacteria
Description: bacterial SSU rRNA
Rfam family: Bacterial small subunit ribosomal RNA
Source: RNAcentral